CGAGGAAUAUUGGACAAUGGAUGGAAAUCUGAUCCAGCCAUGCCGCGUGCAGGAAGACGGCCCUAUGGGUUGUAAACUGCUUUUGUAUGGGAGCAAUAAGAUCUACGUGUAGAUUGAUGAGAGUACCAUACGAAUAAGCGCCGGCUAACUCCGUGCCAGCAGCCGCGGUAAUACGGAGGGUGCAAGCGUUAUCCGGAUUUAUUGGGUUUAAAGGGUGCGUAGGCGGUUUGAUAAGUCAGCGGUGAAAUAUUUCAGCUUAACUGGAAGGGUGCCGUUGAUACUGUCGAGCUUGAAUUUAGUUGCUGUGGGUGGAAUGUGUGGUGUAGCGGUGAAAUGCAUAGAUAUCACACAGAAUAUCGAUUGCGAAGGCAGCUCACAAAGCUAAUAUUGACGCUGAUGCACGAAAGUGUGGGGAUCAAACAG
RNAcentral lists this ribosomal RNA (423 nucleotides) under uncultured bacterium. RNAcentral's name for it is "bacterial SSU rRNA". It matches the Rfam family "Bacterial small subunit ribosomal RNA", at positions 355 to 775 of the family's 1533-position model. The record is from RNAcentral.